CGGGCCGAAGAGGCAGGAAGCGAGAGGUCAGGUGGAGGAAUGCAGCCUACUUUUAUACCCUCUGUCUGCACCAUGAUUGGCUAAGAGCUUGAAAGAGGCAAACAGAGCCGAGCUUGAGGCCGUGGUGCCUCAUACCACUACAAUAAGAUAAGAUGAAAUGCACUUUAUUGUCCCCUUAGAGAAAUUUGUCUUGGACUCCAAGAGCUGCAAUUUGCUAAUCAGGGCCUGCUCUGAUAUCUCUGCAUCACUGAAUCACUUUUGGAGCAAUUUGAUCAACGAUAAAAAGCUGACUCAAAAUCAAAAUUCUUAAUUAUUUCACAAUGCUAUUAUUUGAAAUCUCUGGAGAAUCUCAUCAUAAUGUCCACACCCCCAGCAAUAGCCCCUGUGGCCCUUUCAAAAUUUCCCAGAGGGAAUUGUCGGGCAGCACAGGGGCAGUAUGUUUUUCAAGAUGUUUCCUCUCACACAUGCCUGGCUUGGCAUGAAACAAGAUUAAAUACUUUUGUAAAUACCUAAUUUUCUAUUUUAGAAAACAGUAUUUUAGAAAAAUGGUAAUAGUCUGGAAACAUACACACUUUUCCAAACAUUAUUUUUCAUUUUCCAUAUUUUUUAAUACCUGGAAAUUGACCAAAUUUAUUUUCAUACUUUUCCAUAAUUGCGUAGGAACCCUGUCCUAAGAAAGUUUGAGCAUAUUCUCCGUAGAUGCUAUGUUUUGAAAGACUUCAAGGCAAGAUCAGCAUAAGUCCCGCCUACUGACUUUGAGAGGUGAGUUUGACAGAUAAAAUAAAUUCAUGAAGCACUGCAACACAGAUCGAUGAAAUAAUUGAUUAAAUAGUGAAAUGAUUAUAUAUGUUUUAAUAUGAAAAAAAAUGUAUUUA
Molecule: non-coding RNA, 875 nt
Organism: Xyrichtys novacula (pearly razorfish)
Lineage: Eukaryota; Metazoa; Chordata; Actinopteri; Labriformes; Labridae
Source: the annotation of a GenBank genome assembly